Molecule: long non-coding RNA, 1095 nt
Organism: Lolium perenne
Lineage: Eukaryota; Viridiplantae; Streptophyta; Magnoliopsida; Poales; Poaceae
Source: RefSeq, a predicted model, not a curated record
CAGAAACCCUAGCCCUCUCCCAUCUCCUCCCUCGCGCCGCCAUCUUCUUCCUCUUCUCCCCAUCUUUCUCCUUUCUCUGUGAACAAAACAAAGGGGAAAACCCCACAGUACCUCCUCCACUCACCAUGGUGCUGCCGCCACGGACGCUCCCACGCCGGCCGAAGGUACCGGAAGAUGCGCCUCGUCGUCCUCAUCAUCCUCCCCGAAGGAAUCGAGCCGGGGCUCGCUCAAUCGACGGUGAAAUCGCCGUUCCCUUCUCCAACUCCGGCGAGUUCGUCGUUGAUUCCGGCGGCUAUGGCGCGUCCCCAGCCUCCUCGUCUGCGCCAAGAGCAUCGGGGUCGACGUCGCCGGCGACUCUCCGGCGAGCCCCUAGACUUCGUACCGGCACCAUCAAGUUCUCCACGUUCAUGCGCAGCCCCGAGACCAACUCAUCCGUCCCGGUUCGUUCCCAGGCGUCGAAUGCAUCUCCAACCAGAUCUCCCGGCCAUGGCUGUAACGUUGAAGCUCGUCCCUGGCAUCGUUUGGUUCAAGUUGUCACGCGCCAGCGUGUUGAUAAGAUCUGAACAGUAGCCCAGUGGUGGCCCCUAUCUGUCAUUGACCUUGGCUAGUGCUUCAUUCGGUGAGAAGACCUGCAGCAGUGCCGCCUCGUCAGCGCAUCCAGUCAGCAUCCCUGGUCCCGCCAGUCAGCCCCUGUGGCUAGAACCUCCUUGGUAUAAAACGCUUUUCCUAUUUUCUCUAUUUUCUGAAAAUUGCUGAAUAUGUUCAAAUCUUGCAAAAAUCAUAUCUCCUAAACCGUAACUCGAAAUAAAAAGUGUUCUAUAUGAAAGUUGAUCAGAAAAAUGCAAGGAUCAUGAAUAUGUCAUCCAUAUGCCUGUUUGCAUUUCACAUCAUGUCGCCGUUGAUAGUUGUGCAUUUCCACCUCACAUAUAUGCGGAGUAUUUUGGAUUUCCAACUAGGAAUUCCCCGCUCCGCUUAAUAUUGAAGUAGCUCACCCCUGCCAUGAUAUGCCAUGUUAUCCAACCCUUAACUUUGCCGGUAGAAAUGCAACUCCAACCUUAAUUUGCUUGUCCGGGGUUCCGACUCCGAUUAAAUUGG